This 445-nucleotide ribosomal RNA is filed under the name uncultured bacterium. RNAcentral describes it as "bacterial SSU rRNA". It matches the Rfam family "Bacterial small subunit ribosomal RNA", at positions 70 to 507 of the family's 1533-position model. The record is from RNAcentral.
AUAGAGAAAGCUUGCUUUUCUAGGCGUCGACCGGCGCGACGGGUGAGUAACGCGUAUCCAACCUGCCCAUCACUUGGGGAUAACCUUGCGAAAGUAAGACUAAUACCCAAUGACGUCUCUAGAAGACAUCUGAAGGAGAUUAAAGAUUUAUCGGUGAUGGAUGGGGAUGCGUCUGAUUAGCUUGUUGGCGGGUAACGGCCCACCAAGGCGACGAUCAGUAGGGGUUCUGAGAGGAAGGCCCCCCACAUUGGAACUGAGACACGGUCCAAAACUCCUACGGGAGGCAGCAGUGAGGAAUAUUGGUCAAUGGACGAGAGUCUGAACCAGCCAAGUAGCGUGAAGGAUGAAGGUCCUACGGAUUGUAAACUUCUUUUAUAAGGGAAUAAACCCUCCCACGUGUGGGAGCUUGUAUGUACCUUAUGAAUAAGCAUCGGCUAACUCCGUG